AUGCCCCUGGACUUCACCAAGCACUUGGUCGCGGUGCCGACAGAGUUCAAGCUCAGGAACAACACCGGCUGCUCCUGGAAGGUGAUGGUCAAGCUGAUGAACGGCAGGGUGACCCUGGAUCAGGGUUGGGCCACCUACGCAGCCGUUCAUCAGAUCAAGAUCGGCUACAUGGUGACGUUCAAGCUCCUCACUCCCGACACCCUCAAGGUCAUCAUCUUCGACGAUGAUGGCAUUGAGGUCGUCAACAAGAGCGGGAAGCACGACGAAGCCUUCGCCGCCAAGGAGUAG
This 288-nucleotide ribosomal RNA is filed under the name Triticum aestivum (bread wheat). RNAcentral describes it as "partial small subunit ribosomal RNA". The record is from RNAcentral. Lineage: Eukaryota; Viridiplantae; Streptophyta; Magnoliopsida; Poales; Poaceae.